CCCCAAAAAUAAGAGGGAGAAGGAACAAGAAGUAACUUGGUUUGUGUGGAAGGAUGCCAAUGAUAUGUGAGAUCUUAAGGUUAACAAUUAAGAUAUGACACACACUCUAAAUAAUAUUCAUCACUAUAUGAUAAAUACAACUCAAUCAUACCUCUCUCUCUCACACACAUUUUACAACUCUCGAUAUCACUCUCCCGCCAUCAUUCAUAGAUAUCAC
This 217-nucleotide long non-coding RNA is filed under the name Lathyrus oleraceus (garden pea). Its description in RNAcentral is "Pisum sativum (pea) long non-coding RNA (PSAT_LNC025350)". The record is from RNAcentral. Lineage: Eukaryota; Viridiplantae; Streptophyta; Magnoliopsida; Fabales; Fabaceae.